UCAAGUGACUAAGCGCAUACGGUGGAUGCCUUGGCAGUCAGAGGCGAUGAAGGACGUAGUAGCCUGCGAAAAGCUUCGGGGAGUCGGCAAACAGACUUUGAUCCGGAGAUGUCCGAAUGGGGAAACCCACCCAAUGUAAGUUGGGUAUCCUGCACUGAAUACAUAGGUGCAGGAGGCGAACGAGGGGAACUGAAACAUCUAAGUACCCUUAGGAAUAGAAAUCAAUUGAGAUUCCCCCAGUAGCGGCGAGCGACCGGGGAGUAGCCUGCAAGUGAUAGCAGUUGGGUUAGUGGAACGGUCUGGAAAGUCCGGCGAUAGAGGGUGAUAGCCCCGUACACGAAAACCUGGUUGUGAUACUGAGCUUGCGACAAGUAGGUCGGGACACGAGUUAUCUUGACUGAACAUGGGGGGACCAUCCUCCAAGGCUAAAUACUACUGACUGACCGAUAGUGAACCAGUACCGUGAGGGAAAGGCGAAAAGAACCCCGGAGAGGGGAGUGAAAUAGAUCCUGAAACCGUGUGCGUCCAAGCGGUGGGAGCCCCAUCACUUAGCGAUUUGGUGGUGAGUGCAUCACGCAAUUAAACAACAGCAGACCUGGUCGAAUAAAUUCGACCCUACGGUAGGGCCGAAUUUAUUCGGCCGAAGAAGCUGGUGAUGGCGACAUCAUAAAGGAGAUUGCUUAGUGAUGGGGUGACUGCGUACCUUUUGUAUAAUGGGUCAGCGACUUAUUGUCUGUAGCAAGCUUAACCGUUUAGGGGAGGCGUAGGGAAACCGAGUCUUAAUAGGGCGCAUUAGUUGCAGGCAAUAGACCCGAAACCGGGCGAUCUAUCCAUGGCCAGGGUGAAGGUUGAGUAACAUCAACUGGAGGCCCGAACCCACUUAUGUUGAAAAAUGAGGGGAUGAGCUGUGGAUCGGAGUGAAAGGCUAAUCAAGCCCGGAGAUAGCUGGUUCUCCUCGAAAUCUAUUUAGGUAGAGCGUCAUGUCUUACCCGCGGGGGUAGAGCACUGUUUCGGCUAGGGGGUCAUCCCGACUUACCAACCCGAUGCAAACUCCGAAUACCGCGGAGUACAAUCAUGGCAGACAGACUGCGGGUGCUAACGUCCGUUGUCGAGAGGGCAACAACCCAGACCGCCAGCUAAGGUCCCUAAUACCAGUUAAGUGGGAAACGAUGUGGGAAGGCUUAGACAGCUAGGAGGUUGGCUUAGAAGCAGCCAUCCUUUAAAGAAAGCGUAAUAGCUCACUAGUCGAGUCGGCCUGCGCGGAAGAUAUAACGGGGCUAAAUUGGUAACCGAAGCUGCGGAUGCUGCUAUUUUUCGAAAUGGUGGCAUGGUAGAGGAGCGUUCUGUAAGCCGUUGAAGGUGAACCGGGAGGUUUGCUGGAGGUAUCAGAAGUGCGAAUGCUGACAUGAGUAACGAUAAGGGGGGUGAAAAACCUCCCCGCCGGAAGAUCAAGGUUUCCUGUCCAACGCUAAUCGGGACAGGGUGAGUCGGCCCCUAAGGCGAGGCAGAAAUGCGUAGUCGAUGGAAAGCGGGUUAAUAUUCCCGCACUUGUUUAUAUUGCGAUGGAGGGACGGAGUAGGCUAGGUCAUCAGGGCGUUGGUUGUCCCUGUUUAAGGCUGUAGGCUGGCUGCUUAGGUAAAUCCGGGUGUCCCCCUUUUAGUAGGGAGUGCUGAGAGCUGAUGACGAGCUUUAGUGAGAGCUAAAGUGAAGUGAUCGAUGCCAUGCUUCCAAGAAAAGCUUCUAAGCUUCAGAUAUAGACGAACCGUACUGUAAACCGACACAGGUGAUCAGGUAGAGAAUACCAAGGCGCUUGAGAGAACUCGGGUGAAGGAACUAGGCAAAAUGGUACCGUAACUUCGGGAGAAGGUACGCCGGCUUUGGUGAUGGGACUUGCUCCCUAAGCUGAGGCUGGUCGAAGUGACCAGGUGGCUGCGACUGUUUAUUAAAAACAUAGCACUGUGCAAACACGUAAGUGGACGUAUACGGUGUGACGCCUGCCCGGUGCCGGAAGGUUAAUUGAUGGGGUUAUCUUCGGAGAAGCUCUUGAUCGAAGCCCCGGUAAACGGCGGCCGUAACUAUAACGGUCCUAAGGUAGCGAAAUUCCUUGUCGGGUAAGUUCCGACCUGCACGAAUGGCGUAACGAUGGCCACACUGUCUCCACCCGAGACUCAGUGAAAUUGAAAUUGCGGUUAAGAUGCCGUAUACCCGCGGCUAGACGGAAAGACCCCGUGAACCUUUACUAUAGCUUCACAGUGGACUCUGACUUUACUUGUGUAGGAUAGCUGGGAGGCUUUGAAGUGGUGGCGCUAGCUAUCAUGGAGCCAACCUUGAAAUACCAGCCUGGUAACGUUGGGGUUCUAACUCAGGUCCAUUAUCUGGAUCGAGGACAUUGUGUGGUGGGUAGUUUGACUGGGGCGGUCUCCUCCCAAAGAGUAACGGAGGAGCACGAAGGUGCGCUAAUCAUGGUCGGAAAUCAUGAGGUUAGUGUAAAGGCACAAGCGCGCUUGACUGCGAGUCUGACAAGACGAGCAGGUACGAAAGUAGGUCUUAGUGAUCCGGUGGUUCUGAAUGGAAGGGCCAUCGCUCAACGGAUAAAAGGUACUCCGGGGAUAACAGGCUGAUACCGCCCAAGAGUUCACAUCGACGGCGGUGUUUGGCACCUCGAUGUCGGCUCAUCACAUCCUGGGGCUGAAGCCGGUCCCAAGGGUAUGGCUGUUCGCCAUUUAAAGUGGUACGCGAGCUGGGUUUAGAACGUCGUGAGACAGUUCGGUCCCUAUCUGCCGUGGGCGUUGGAGAAUUGAGGGAAGCUGCUUCUAGUACGAGAGGACCGAAGUGGACGAACCCCUGGUGUUCGGGUUGUGUCGCCAGACGCAUUGCCCGGUAGCUACGUUCGGACAGGAUAACCGCUGAAAGCAUCUAAGCGGGAAGCCCCUCCCAAGACUAGUUCUCCCUGGGAAUUUAAUUCCCCUGAAGGGCCGUCCAAGACUAGGACGUUGAUAGGCUGGGUGUGUAAGCGCUGUGAGGCGUUGAGCUAACCAGUACUAAUUGCCCGUGAGGCUUGACCAU
RNAcentral lists this ribosomal RNA (3066 nucleotides) under marine sediment metagenome. RNAcentral describes it as "bacterial LSU rRNA". It matches the Rfam family "Bacterial large subunit ribosomal RNA". The record is from RNAcentral.